RNAcentral lists this ribosomal RNA (238 nucleotides) under uncultured bacterium. RNAcentral's name for it is "partial 16S ribosomal RNA". It matches the Rfam family "Bacterial small subunit ribosomal RNA", at positions 524 to 760 of the family's 1533-position model. The record is from RNAcentral.
UACGGAGGGUGCAAGCGUUGUCCGGAAUCACUGGGCGUAAAGGGCGCGUAGGCGGCUCAUGAAGGCUGUGGUGAAAGUCCGGGGCUCAACCUCGGAUCGGCCGUGGCGACUCGUGGGCUGGAGCACUGUAGAGGCGGGUGGAAUUCCGCGGUGUAGCAGUGAAAUGCGUAGAUAUGCGGAGGAACACCGAUGGCGAAGGCAAUCCCCUGGACCUGUACUGACGCUCAUGCACGAAAGC